Molecule: transfer RNA, 64 nt
Filed under: Camelus bactrianus (Bactrian camel)
Lineage: Eukaryota; Metazoa; Chordata; Mammalia; Artiodactyla; Camelidae
Also listed under: 2 other names
Rfam family: tRNA
About the family: Transfer RNA (tRNA) molecules are approximately 80 nucleotides in length. Their secondary structure includes four short double-helical elements and three loops (D, anti-codon, and T loops). Further hydrogen bonds mediate the characteristic L-shaped molecular structure. tRNAs have two regions of fundamental functional importance: the anti-codon, which is responsible for specific mRNA codon recognition, and the 3' end, to which the tRNAs corresponding amino acid is attached (by aminoacyl-tRNA synthetases). tRNAs cope with the degeneracy of the genetic code in two manners: having more than one tRNA (with a specific anti-codon) for a particular amino acid; and 'wobble' base-pairing, i.e. permitting non-standard base-pairing at the 3rd anti-codon position.
Source: Rfam by way of RNAcentral
GGGGGUAUAGCUCAGUGGUAGAGUGUGAAGCACGAGGUCCUGGCUUCAAUCCCCAGUUCCUCCA